This is a long non-coding RNA of Spinacia oleracea (spinach), 3121 nucleotides long. RefSeq lists it as uncharacterized. The transcript has 8 exons. The record is from RefSeq and is a predicted model, not a curated record. Lineage: Eukaryota; Viridiplantae; Streptophyta; Magnoliopsida; Caryophyllales; Amaranthaceae.
AUAAAAUUUUCAGAACUCCAAAAUCACUAUCCUAGUCUUCUCUCUCCUCUCUCCUCUCUCCUCUCGAAUUCUCUUUCCUCCAUAGCUCCGCCCAGAUGCUGUAUCUAUGUCUUUGUCUGUGUCUGUGUCUGUGUCUGUGUCUAAUUCAUCUUUCUCAUGUUUCUUACCUGAUUUUUGUUGGGUGAACAAAUUAUUCCGAUUUUGAUUGAUUUAUCUGUUAUUAAUUUCUGGAAUCAACUCAAGUAUAAUCAAUUUGAUGGAAAAGAAAAAGGAUGCGCCGGUUUUUGUGAAUUUAUGGGUGUUUUCGUGUUCGUCGGAACAAACCCCGAUCUACCACCGCCGCCUAAGCCCGUUCCUGCUUCCUACUUCUCCCCUCAUUCCUCGUUGCUCACUGCCUCACCAACCGGAAUCGACGCCCGGAGGCUACCAACGAUCUUUGAUUGCCAUUGUUAUACAGAAGUAUACAGAAAGGAAAAAGCAAAACCGGAAUAGCUGAUAGGAAGGGCUCUCCUGAAAUGCAAGUAUACUCGGUUAUACCAUUAGAGGGUUUCUCACCCAAUGAACUUCAGGUUGGCGAAAACAUAAAAUAUGUCAACUCAGUGAAGGCCGGUUUGGAACAAAAUAUGUCAACUCAAAAGAAACUCAAGAUAGUGCUCAUGUGGAAGAAUGCCAUUAAUAUACCGGGAUGAUAUUGUAAACUUUGCUUGGGAAUUGGUCAAUGAUUAUCUAUUACUAUGACUAUUUUUUGGUCAUGGGGUGCCUUGAUCGCGUGUUUGCUGGAAUGGUGAGUGGUACCUCUCAAUUGUUCCACGACUGGUAUGUCUCUAUCAACAAGCUCAAAUAGGUUUACUUUUGUAUGACUGUACGUCAGUACACACCUGAAAUGAUUAUUAAUGUUACUUACUUUGUACUACAUGUCAUUGUUUGUAUGUCGUAGCUUGAUGGUUUCUGCUUGUCGUUGUAUGCACUCAGGGAACUGGAGUUCUGCGCAGACAUUUUCAAAUGCCUGUAGAGUUCUUUUGCAUGAUAGAUUGCAUUUUCUAGAUCGUAUGCUAUAGUAUCGACAAAAGUAUUAUAGUUAGAAAAGUUGAUGGUCGUGUUAUGUUCCAUGAGGAUUUAGCACCUUAGUAAUGGAAACUCAGCGAGAAGCAACCGCAAUGACCACCACUACUUGCGGAUGGUCACAAGGGCCAUGGUGUCUCCGACUUGCAUCAAAGCCGAAACUUUUUGCCAUUUUGGCGCAAAAAGAACAAGGUACAUUUUGAUGAUGUUCAACAAGCUCGGUAUCUGCAGCACCCGAGGAAAACUAAAGAGCCUGGAUGAUAAUACGAGCAGGAAAGGCCUUGCUGAAAUUUACGAUGUCAUAUCACUUUCAGGAAUGCAUUGUUUAAGCUUGAGACAGUAAGGAAACUGGUUAAGCAUAUGAUGCAAUCGAAAAGUCUCAUACUUUCAAAGAAUUUAAUGAGAGCAGGCAGGAGCUCUUGUGCUCUUCCAGAAGAUGCACAAGCUUGAGAUAAAGCCGAAUGUGGGGACCUUUUUGGCUAUUUUAAAUGCUUGCAGGUAUCUCCCUCUCUUUCACUGAAUUUAUCUUUAUUUUUUAAAGUACAAGCAUGAAACUUUGAGGUGAAUGACUGAAGGGUGAGUUGCUUAUCAAAAGUUUAACUGACAAGACAACAUUAUGUAGUAUCUCUGCGUUGCUUGACAAGGGUAAUGAAUUAGGACCCUAUCACUGUAUAGUUGGGAGUUGGAGCUGCAAGACUUGCCAUUCAAAAAUCCCAACAGGGGAAAAAAUAUCCCGCAUAUAACUGGAGUGAUUGUGAAAAGGAAAAUAAACUGCAGUGGUUUCUUGUUGAUUUGAUUUGAUGAUUAUGAAUUUGAAUCUUCUGCAAUUGAUUAAUUAUAUUGCUUACUGACUUUUUUAUUUUUUAAUGCAGUGGUAUAAAUGGCUCCUAAAAAAUCAAAGUGUCCACUUUAGUAGUGGAGUUUGCUUGUUGAACCAGAUUUGUCAUCAUAUUGGUCGUUGGGGAUUGAUUAAUGCCCUUGUUGUUGAAUGAUGCUACGGUCUUUGAUGUUGUUUGAAUUAUUUGUGCCGAUAUUUUGACAGAGUUUUUGUGGCUGAUAGAUAUAUAUAUAUGUCUAUUUUUUUGGAUUUUUUGCCGUAUCCUUGCCGUAUCCUUGCCGUACCCGUUUAUUGAAAUUUUAAUUUUGCCGUUUCUGGUCCCCGUACCCGUCCAGGUAUUUGACCCCGUAGUCCCGUACCCGUUUCUGUGUUACAUAGGUCAUAUAUAUGGUCAAAUGGCUUUCUUAUAAGGUUAUGAUACCAAGAUAGAUUAAGAGUGUAUCGAUUUCACUAUGGCUCGUAGAAUGUUACAUCUUGUUUUUCAGCAGGGAUAUUUUUAAGAUUAUGCCUUAUUCUUAAUAAGCAAUAAGUUCCCUUUGUUCAUACCCCCGUAUUGUUUAAUCUUUUUGCUUCAUUUCAGGUAUAAGGUAUUUCUUUACUCUUGUGCGCUUAUCUUCAAUAACUCUCUAAUUACACUGACUCAGAGGUAAUCUGUGAAAAAUUCCUCCUUUACUCUUGGUGUUUUACGGUGGUUGGGACUGUUGUAGUUUUCAUGGGUAUAUGCUGAUGCUGGUAUUCUUUUCAGGUGCUUGAGAGUGUUUGUAUUAGGGUGUUGUGAGGCUGUGCCGUGGGUGCAUUCUGUCUGUAUUGGCUCUUGAGUCUUUAGUAUUUUUAAUUUUCUCUUUUCUACGUCUCUCUCUGCUUUUCCUCUGUUUUGUUUUCCACUCUGCAGGGUGAGGCAGCAAGUUUGACGCAGUCAAAAUAGCAAAGUAAGGGCAUCCUGUAUAUUUUACAAGAGGUUAACUGAACGAAUUAGGCAGCAUGGGCACUUGAACUCGAAGAUUCCCCACGCGACUCUAGAACGAGAAAUGCUCAACUUAAGUAUUGCAAUUGAGUUUAUGUAAAGGUGGAAGUACAUAUUUUUGAACAACUUGUAGCAAUAUCUUUUGUAAUAAGUCCAUGUUGAUAGGAAGAACCGAAGAAGCCAUUACUUGCUUGUCUUUUGUGAACUAAGUGUACAAUAACAUUAGAUUUUUAUAUAUUUUAUAUUUUAUAGUACAA